This 2782-nucleotide small RNA is filed under the name Pongo abelii (Sumatran orangutan). RNAcentral's name for it is "processed transcript". Lineage: Eukaryota; Metazoa; Chordata; Mammalia; Primates; Hominidae. The record is from RNAcentral.
CUACCAGUAAGUGGGCCGUUUUGUAAUGGUUUUGGGAAGGAGGGAAAAAGAUGACCAGCCCAGUGAGGUUACUCAUAGGCACCGUCUUCAGAAUCAUUACUCAGUGUGCCCUCAGAAAACAGAUGCUGUUUAUGGAUCCUUAAAAGACAAUCCGCUGCUUUUUUACUUUUUAAUGUUAUUACCUGUGUAGCUCUGUUUGUCUUUCUAAUACUUGUAAUAGAGUGUGGGUGAGAGUUCAUUGGGGAGUGUUUAUUUUGGAAUGUUUUUUGUAGACUCUAUGGCUAGAUUCUGAAACUGCUCAUUUUAAAAAGUUUCAUCUGAUGGAAAUCUUCCCCAGCAAGCCGCGUCAGCCCCAAGCCGUGUGGCUGCAGUAGGUCCCUAUAUCCAGUCAUCUACUAUGCCUCGGAUGCCCUCAAGGCCUGAAUUGCUGGUGAAGCCAGCCCUGCCGGAUGGUUCCUUGGUCAUGCAGGCUUCAGAGGGGCCGAUGAAAAUACAGACACUGCCCAACAUGAGAUCUGGGGCUGCUUCACAAACUAAAGGCUCUAAAAUCCAUCCAGUUGGCCCUGAUUGGAGUCCUUCAAAUGCAGAUCUUUUCCCGAGCCAAGGCUCUGCUUCUGCACCUCAAAGCACUGGGAAUGCUCUGGAUCAAGUUGAUGAUGGAGAGGUUCCGCUGAGGGAGAAAGAGAAGAAAGUGCGUCCGUUCUCAAUGUUUGACGCAGUAGACCAGUCCACUGCCCCACCUUCCUUUGGUACUCUGAGGAAGAACCAGAGCAGUGAAGAUAUCUUGCGGGAUGCUCAGGCUGCAAAUAAAAAUGUGGCUAAAGUACCACCUCCUGUUCCUACAAAACCAAAACAGAUUAAUUUGCCUUAUUUUGGACAAACUAAUCAGCCACCUUCAGACAUUAAGCCAGACGGAAGUUCUCAGCACUUGUCAACAGUUGUUCCGUCCAUGGGACCUAAACCAAAACCAGCAGGGCAGCAGCCGAGAGUGCUGCUGUCUCCCAGCAUACCUUCAGUUGGCCAAGACCAGACCCUUUCUCCAGGUUCUAAGCAAGAAAGUCCACCUGCUGCUGCCGUCCGGCCCUUUACUCCCCAGCCUUCCAAAGACACCUUACUUCCACCCUUCAGAAAACCCCAGACCGUGGCAGCAAGUUCAAUAUAUUCCAUGUAUACGCAACAGCAGGCUCCAGGAAAAAACUUCCAGCAGGCUGUGCAGAGCGCGUUGACCAAGACUCAUACCAGAGGGCCACACUUUUCAAGUGUAUAUGGUAAGCCUGUAAUUGCUGCUGCCCAGAAUCAACAGCAGCACCCAGAGAACAUUUAUUCCAAUAGCCAGGGCAAGCCUGGCAGUCCAGAACCUGAAACAGAGCCUGUUUCUUCAGUUCAGGAGAACCAUGAAAACGAAAGAAUUCCUCGGCCACUCAGCCCAACUAAAUUACUGCCUUUCUUAUCUAAUCCUUACCGAAACCAGAGUGAUGCUGACCUAGAAGCCCUACGAAAGAAACUGUCUAAUGCACCAAGGCCUCUAAAGAAACGUAGUUCUAUUACAGAGCCAGAGGGUCCUAAUGGGCCAAAUAUUCAGAAGCUUUUAUAUCAGAGGACCACCAUAGCGGCCAUGGAGACCAUCUCUGUCCCAUCAUACCCAUCCAAGUCAGCUUCUGUGACUGCCAGCUCAGAAAGUCCAGUAGAAAUCCAGAAUCCAUAUUUACAUGUGGAGCCCGAGAAGGAAGUGGUCUCUCUGGUUCCUGAAUCAUUGUCCCCAGAGGAUGUGGGGAGUGCCAGUACAGAGAACAGUGACAUGCCAGCUCCUUCUCCAGGCCUUGAUUAUGAGCCUGAGGGAGUCCCAGACAACAGCCCAAAUCUCCAGAAUAACCCAGAAGAACCAAAUCCAGAGGCUCCCCAUCUGCUUGAUGUGUACCUGGAGGAGUACCCUCCAUACCCACCUCCACCAUACCCAUCCGGGGAGCCUGAAGGGCCUGGAGAAGACUCGGUGAGCAUGCGCCCGCCUGAAAUCACCGGGCAGGUCUCUCUGCCUCCUGGUAAAAGGACAAACUUGCGUAAAACCGGCUCAGAGCGUAUUGCUCAUGGAAUGAGGGUGAAAUUCAACCCCCUUGCUUUACUGCUAGAUUCGUCUUUGGAGGGAGAAUUUGACCUUGUACAGAGAAUUAUUUAUGAGGUUGAUGACCCAAGCCUGCCCAAUGAUGAAGGCAUCACGGCUCUUCACAAUGCUGUGUGUGCAGGCCACACAGAAAUCGUUAAGUUCCUGGUACAGUUUGGUGUAAAUGUAAAUGCUGCUGAUAGUGAUGGAUGGACUCCAUUACAUUGUGCUGCCUCAUGUAACAACGUCCAAGUGUGUAAGUUUUUGGUGGAGUCGGGAGCCGCUGUGUUUGCCAUGACCUACAGUGACAUGCAGACUGCUGCAGAUAAGUGCGAGGAAAUGGAGGAAGGCUACACUCAGUGCUCUCAAUUUCUUUAUGGAGUUCAGGAGAAGAUGGGCAUAAUGAAUAAAGGAGUCAUUUAUGCACUUUGGGAUUAUGAACCUCAGAAUGAUGAUGAGCUGCCCAUGAAAGAAGGAGACUGCAUGACAAUCAUCCACAGGGAGGACGAAGAUGAAAUUGAAUGGUGGUGGGCGCGCCUUAAUGAUAAGGAGGGAUAUGUUCCACGCAACUUGCUGGGACUGUACCCAAGAAUUAAACCAAGACAAAGGAGCUUGGCCUGAAACUUCAUGCAGAAUUUUAGUCAAUGAAGAAUUAAUCUCUGUUAAGAAGAAGUAAUACGAUUA